ACUACAGCUGAAGGUCUUCCCACAUUUAAUACAUUCGUAAGGUUUCUCUCCAGUAUGAAUUCUGUGAUGUUGAAGCAGGGAUGACCUAUGACUAAAGGCUUUCCCACAUAUAUGGCAUUCAUUAGAUAGAAAUCACAUUUCAAUCUAAUGUGAUUUCUCAAAUGCAUAUUCAGUGAUUCAAGCUGGUUGAAGGAUUUCCUGCAUUUCUGACAUUCAAAGGGUUUUUCUUCAGUAUGAAUACUCUGAUGCUGAACAAGAAAUGAGAGGCUACUAAAGACUUUCAGACAUUUGUUGCAUUCAUAUUGUUUCUCCAUAGUGUGAAUUCUUUGAUGUGGAGUAAGGUGUGAGCUACAGCAGAAAGCUUUCUCACAUUCUCUACAUUCAUAAGGCUUCUCUCCAGUAUGGAUUUUCUGAUGGUGAAUGAGAGACGACGUAUGAAUGAAGGCCUUUCCACAUAUACGACACUCAUAGAGUUUUUCUUGCGUAUGAAUUCUUAGAUGUUCAAUAAGAUGGGACACACGCCUAAAAGACUUUCCACAGUUCAUACAUUCAUAUGGUUUCUCUCCAGUGUGAGUGCUCUGAUGGUUAGUAAGUGAUGAGCCAUGGCUAAAGGCCUUCCCACAUUCAAUACAUUUGUAAGGUUUCUCUCCACUAUGGCUUAUCUGAUGUCGUGUAAGGGAUGAGCCGUGGCUAAAAGUCUUCCCACAUUCACGACAUUCACAGGG
RNAcentral lists this long non-coding RNA (725 nucleotides) under Homo sapiens (human). RNAcentral's name for it is "non-protein coding lnc-WTIP-1:1". Lineage: Eukaryota; Metazoa; Chordata; Mammalia; Primates; Hominidae. The record is from RNAcentral.